GCAGAGCUGUGCUUGGUCUUGAGCUCUCAGUUUAGGAAGACAACCGGAACUUCAUGAGAAGAGGGGAGAAGGCCCCAGUAGCUCUCUUGCGGCCUGAGUACCCAUGAGUCAGGACAGUGCGCUCCAGACAACCGCCAGAGGCCAAAGGGCAACUUGGCCUUCACCGCAGUUUUGCUCAAAAUACACAGUAAGCGGGUGGCAGGAAGUGAGUUGCAGCAACCUCAAGUGAUGUGUGAAAGUUUCCAACUAGAAAUUCAAAGAACUUGUCUUUGUUUAAUGGAAAAGUGAAACAAAUUCUUUCUUGUGCUCCUCAUCUUUGGUUGUUCCCGGCUGAGGGCUGGGUCCGGGGCAGGAACAAGGUGAACAUUCACUCCUUGAAGACUACAGGAUCUGGUGUGAUGGGAAGUUAGUCAGGCAGGUAUGUGGGUUCAGGACAGAUGACUGCCUGAGCUAGACUGCACCUACAGUGUGUUAUUAAUAAAGGUUUAUUGGCACAGACUGUGUCUGCUUAUGUAGAGUCGAUGCUGUUUUCACAGAACAAGGCCAACAAUGAGUAGCUAACAAGGCCAUGCACCCAAAGUCAUCCUUCUGCCAAAUUUGCUCCCUGGAUCUUUAAAAAACCAAACAAACAUGUGACAGCAGUUCUCGAAUUCAUGGGUCCUUAGUUUUCCCCGUGUAAAGGGCGCCUCUGAAAGUACGGUGUAGCUGUCUACGCGACUCCCGAUAAAGAAGUUUGUGACUUUCUGACUGAGGAUGCCAGGUCACCCAGUGGCCUCUCUCGCAAGCUUGCAAUGGUGUAGACUAUUCUGGCUCAUCAAGAGAAGCGCUGCAGCAGUAAGGGGGACAUCUGCUCGGACUCCCUCGCCCACCCACUGCAACGGCAGUUAUGAUGGGGUCCAGCAUCCGCCUGACAUCCACAGUAUGUUUCGCCUCUCCCUGCUUCUCCAUGCUCCUACAUUAGGUAAGUUUUUUGGGGGAGAAUUAAUGUGGGGUGAGGAACGGGUACGUAGCGAGCAUCACAUGGAAUAGCUAGGGAGAUCUCAAGAUAUUCUCCUUGGGGUGUGGAGCCAUGCUGUCUCUAUGAGGCCAUUUUAGGAUUCAUCUAAGAUUUUGAAACAUCUACUUUUUUUGUCUUUACCACGAUCGACUGAAAGCAAAAGGUUCUGACAGACUAACUGUAUCACCCACGCUAAAGAAGACUGCAAAGGCGGGCUCUCCAGUCUUCUUCACACCCUCUUAAAGAUGGCACCCCACUCUGCCAAGGUGCUAAGAACACCAAGAGGGACGUGGCCACAGCGGUGCAGUUC
This 1307-nucleotide long non-coding RNA is filed under the name Meriones unguiculatus (Mongolian gerbil). Its description in RNAcentral is "lncRNA (ENSMUGG00000004877.1)". The record is from RNAcentral. Lineage: Eukaryota; Metazoa; Chordata; Mammalia; Rodentia; Muridae.